GAAACCAGUCCCCGAGGCUUGGCAAAGCAGGAGCCCUCUGUGGCAGUGCUUGGGUGUCGGGGCUCUGAGGAUCCGGCCUCACCUCUCCACGGGGUCGACGGGAACGUCUCCGGAUGCCAGGAGUCGCAAAGGGCCGACCACGAUGAGGAAACCCCAGGCUGGGACGGGGGAAGCAGCACGGGAUCCCAGCCUCAGGCCUGCCCGGACGGUGUUGGUUGGGAGACGAGGUCUCACUAUAUUGACCAGGCUGGUCUUGAACUCCUGGCCUUAAGCGAUCCUCCUGCCUUGGCCUCCCAAAGUGCUGGAGUUACAGAUGUGAGCCUCUGUGCUCAGUCCAUCCUUGGCUGUUCAAGUGUAGAGGGCUAACACCAUACUCAAUGAUGAAAACCUGAAAACUUUCCCUAAGAUCAAGAACAAGGCGGGGCGGUUCCAAGAUGGCCGAAUAGGAACAGCUCCAGUCUAAGCUCCCAGCAUAAGUGAUGGAGAAGAUGGGUGAUUUCUGCAUUUCCAACUGAGCCUGAAGAGCUUCCUUUAGGAUUUCUUGUGAGACAAGUCAGCUUUUAUUUGUCUGGAAAAGUCUUUAUCUCACUUUUAUUUGUGAAGAACUGCUUUGGCAGCCGUACCCUCAAGAACUGCACCUUCCAACCACCCUUAUAUGAGCCUGCUCCAAAACCUUGCCAGCCAGCACUUCCAGGUUACGACUAUUGACCUCCAGCUCCCAGUUUCAGGUGAGAGAGAGUUCUCCCAGUCUCCUGGAUCACACUGGUCGGAAAGCUGUUUGGUAGACAACCUUCGAGUCUUUCUGCCUUCAUACUGUGGGUAUACCGUUCUCCCAACUGAAAACCCGUUUAUUUUCUUAUCUGUCUACUCAAAGCCUAACCAACACCAAAUGGCCUAGAAAUGCCACGUACCUACCAGUUGCCUCUUUCCUCCUCCAGCCCUUGUGAAUGUGAAUUCACAUCUCUGUUCUCUGUGUUCCUUGGCCACUUAGUACCAUUCACAAUAUCUCUCAUAGCUAGCUCUCUGCCUUAGGGCUGGCCCAUGGGACUAAAAUUCCUUGUGGUAGGUAUUUUUUUUUCAUAUUUCUAUUCUUAUAGCAUCUAGCAUAGAACAAACAGCCUAGUAUCUAGUGGGUAUCCAAUAACAACUUAUGCAGGUGAUUAGGCAAGAAAAAGAAAUAAAGCCUAUUCAAAUUGGAAAGGUGGAAGUCAAAUUGUCCCUAUUUGCUGGCAACAUAAUCUUAUAUAUAGAAGAACUUAAACACUCUGCCAAAAAUCCAUUAGAUGUGAUAAACAAUUCAGUAAGGUUGUAUUGUAUGUAUCAAAACAUCCCUAUGUAACCCAUAGAGAUGUAUAAUUAUUUUAUGUUGAUCAAAAAUAAAAUAAUAAAAGCUCUUAAUAAAACAGUCAUCUCUUUCAGAAUUCAUGGUUACCAUUGCCUCUAGUAUUAUUUGUCAAUUAAAAAAUAAAAUUUAAAAAGAA
RNAcentral lists this long non-coding RNA (1481 nucleotides) under Homo sapiens (human). RNAcentral describes it as "family with sequence similarity 27 member C". Lineage: Eukaryota; Metazoa; Chordata; Mammalia; Primates; Hominidae. The record is from RNAcentral.